Long non-coding RNA from Oncorhynchus tshawytscha (Chinook salmon), 1551 nucleotides. The record is from Ensembl. Lineage: Eukaryota; Metazoa; Chordata; Actinopteri; Salmoniformes; Salmonidae.
CUUGAACGCAGCUCGAUAGCAACUCAACAAGCACCAGCUGCUACUAAUUGCCAAUCAGCCUCCAUGCCUGUUUGCAACACUUUAACUAGUUGACUUGAACAGAGCUCCUCAACAAGCAUCAGCUCAUUGCUAAUCAGCCUCCACACCUGUCCUCACUCUCCUUAAUCACAACUACCGCCUUACUUAAACCUGGGGCGGCAGGUAGCCAGCCUAGUGGUUAAGAGCAAUGGGAUCAGUAACUGAUUCAACUAGGUGAAAAAUCUGUCGCGCUGCCCUUGAGCAAACCCUAAUUGGUCCUGUAAGACAUUCUGGAUAAGAGCAUCUGCUAAAUGAUUUAAAUUUUAAAUGUAAUCAUUAUUUCAAACAGUUUCUGUUGGAGAGAUUUAAGGACACUGCAUUACUGGCCUUAGGCUCUGCAUGGUCAAUCUGACAUUGCAGUGGCUGUACAGAAGUUGAAGAGCGCAUACGUCUUGUGCUUAGGAGCGCUGUCCUAAACAUCCAAUAAUUUCGUCUGCACCGCUUCACUCGUAGUGAUUCAGGGCUAAUCUUGAUAGCCAUCCAGCUAAUUACAAACAACUAGCUAAAAGACAAGACCUUACCUCAUCUGAGAUGUGGCGUCAGUUUCCUGGUGCUUGACGUAAGAGCUCACCCAAGAGCGCAUGAAGUAGGAGGACUGCACCGUUUUCCCACCAGCAUCCCAUCGCAAAUCUAACCAUUGCUCCCCAGAAAAACUAGCCUACAUUUAGGCUGUUUAUAUGUGUAUUUCACAUGUUGAGGUAGAAAUAGGAGUAUAAUGCUUGUACGGAUGUCAACUCCAAUACAUGUUCAUGUCAUUAAUCAACUGCAUUACAGGUUGUUGUUUUUUAACUACAGUUAACUACCAACACCUAUUUCUGUAUGCUAGCUAUGCUACCAGUUUAUACGAAUGGGAGUUAGCAUUUGUAGUCACUUUUAAAUCUGGAAAAACUUCUAAAUGUUACGCAUCAAAAACAGCCAAGUAUAUCCAAAUCGGAUUUUGACAAAUAUCCACUGUUAACGUGGAUUUAACGUUUAUUUAACUCCAUUGAUUUCUUUAUCGCAUCUAUCCCCAUUGUCUUCCCGAUCUCUUUCCAGUAGUUCAAACAAAUUGUCGUCUUUGAAAUCCCUAAACAAGGUAUCAUAAAGAUCUUUUUUCUGGUAGCCUUUCCUCAAAAUAAUCAAUUUAAGGUAGUGAGUUUCUGUUUAUACGAGAGUUUGUUUGUUUAUAAAGCAUGUAUCACCAUUACGUCCCCGAUCUCUUUCCAGGAGUUCAAACUAAUUUAGGUGUCUUUGAAAUGCCUACGCAAGGUAUCAAAUAUUGUUGUUUUUUUGUAAACUUGUUAUCCUUCCCACAAAAUUAUCCAUGUUUGUCAUGGAAGUGAAUUUGUUUUUUAUACAGGAUGUAAGCCCCCCCGCGUCUACCUUCAACCAAUCGUGUCAAUACAGAGCUAUAUGGAGCCCUCAGCAUUGUUACAAAAUGUGGAAGGCGCACAGCAAUGCUUGAUUUGGCCACAGCAAGCCUCUGGAGUCUUC